Grus americana (Whooping crane) is the source of this 305-nucleotide long non-coding RNA. RefSeq lists it as uncharacterized. Lineage: Eukaryota; Metazoa; Chordata; Aves; Gruiformes; Gruidae. The transcript is spliced from 4 exons. The record is from RefSeq and is a predicted model, not a curated record.
GCAGAACUACACAAUCUCCAGAAGUUAAAGUUGUUUUGCUAAUAACAAUAACAGAUGAUUGGCAAGAAAAAAAGCCAGCGUACUAUUUCUCGUAGAGAGGAAAUGGCUCCUAUUGAAUAACACUAUUCGUGAACUAAGGAAUGUGAAUUAGCAGUAUGUCCACUGUCCUACUCUGGGGGCUCAGAUCCAUUCUUUCUAUGAAGUGAACCGCAGCAAGUUUACCACCCUCUGAGGAUGUUGACCGAAGUGCUGAUUCUGUUAGAGCUGAAAACUCCCAGUGAGGCCAAGGAUUUCACCCGAAUAAG